RNAcentral lists this ribosomal RNA (496 nucleotides) under uncultured bacterium. Its description in RNAcentral is "partial 16S ribosomal RNA". It matches the Rfam family "Bacterial small subunit ribosomal RNA", at positions 28 to 507 of the family's 1533-position model. The record is from RNAcentral.
GAUGAACGCUGGCGGCGUGCCUAAUACAUGCAAGUCGAGCGAACAGACGAGGAGCUUGCUCCUCUGACGUUAGCGGCGGACGGGUGAGUAACACGUGGAUAACCUACCUAUAAGACUGGGAUAACUUCGGGAAACCGGAGCUAAUACCGGAUAAUAUAUUGAACCGCAUGGUUCAAUAGUGAAAGACGGUUUUGCUGUCACUUAUAGAUGGAUCCGCGCCGCAUUAGCUAGUUGGUAAGGUAACGGCUUACCAAGGCAACGAUGCGUAGCCGACCUGAGAGGGUGAUCGGCCACACGGGACCUGGGACACGGUCCGACCUCCUACGGAGGGCAGCGGUGGGAAAUCUUCGGCAAGGGGCGAAGGCCUGACGAAGCAACGCGGCGGGGGUAAGGAAGGUUUUCGGAUCGUAAACCUCUGUUAUUAGGAAAAACAAAAGUUUAAAGUAACAAUGCACUUCUGGAGGUAACCUAUCAGAAAGCCACGGCUAACUACGUG